GCUGGGCACAGUGGCUUUUGCCUGUAAUCCCAGCUCCCUGGGACGCUGAGACGGUAGAAUUGCUUAAGCUCAGGUGAUCUGGGCUGCAGUUGGCCAUGCUAAUCAGGUGCCCACACUAAGGUCAGCAUCAAUAUGGUGACCUGUGGGAAGCUGGAGGUUACCAGGUUGUCUAAGAAGGGGUGAACCGGCCCAGGUCAAGAAUGGAGCAGGCCAAAGCUCCUGUGCUGAGGGGUAGUGGGAUUGCACCUGUGGUUGGUCCCUGCAGAACAGCCUGGGCAAGAGAGUAAAACACAGUCUCAU
Molecule: unclassified non-coding RNA, 300 nt
Organism: Sphenodon punctatus (tuatara)
Lineage: Eukaryota; Metazoa; Chordata; Lepidosauria; Sphenodontia; Sphenodontidae
Rfam family: Metazoan signal recognition particle RNA
About the family: The signal recognition particle (SRP) is a universally conserved ribonucleoprotein.
Source: Ensembl